GGCCACGCCUGUCUGAGGGUCGGUU
Molecule: ribosomal RNA, 25 nt
Filed under: Pseudococcus viburni (obscure mealybug)
Lineage: Eukaryota; Metazoa; Arthropoda; Insecta; Hemiptera; Pseudococcidae
Description: partial 5.8S ribosomal RNA
Source: RNAcentral